Ostrinia nubilalis (European corn borer) is the source of this 657-nucleotide long non-coding RNA. RefSeq lists it as uncharacterized. The transcript is spliced from 2 exons. Lineage: Eukaryota; Metazoa; Arthropoda; Insecta; Lepidoptera; Crambidae. The record is from RefSeq and is a predicted model, not a curated record.
CUAUGUUAGAGAAAACAGAAAGCAAAUGGCGUCAGAUAAUAUUAAUGUUUUAAACUUUCAACUAGUGUCUUUUAAUGUUGUCAGUCUUAUUAUAGUAAAAAGAAAAUGGUUAAGUCAUUCAACCUACAUAUAAAAUAUCUAAGUGAUAUCUUUAGCAUUACUGUAACACUUUUUAGGUAUGUUAUAAUGUUCAUUAGGUUUAAACGUCAUAAAAAUGGAUUGCUUUAGUGUUAAUCAGGGUACCGAAACAAUAAUUUAGAAUCCUUUAAUCACGUCAUGAUCCCCUACUCCACGUCUUUCAAUUUUAUCUGUCUCCAAUUAGGUAGGUACCUAGUUUGACAAGUGUUAAGUAUAAAAUCAUUAUCACUACAAAUGUAAUUUGUAAUGAAACACGAUAUAGCUACCUAUCUUAUUUUUCGCUCAUUGUAAUAGUAAUAAUUUAAAGGAACUUUUUGUAACUAGUUAGUAGUGUUGCUGUAGUCGUUUUUUUAAGGAUGCCUUUUAAAAUAGUGCAAACGACCGAAAGGGAUGAAGGAAUGUUCUACGGAACUUCUUGACUCACACAACAACCGAUUGUACUGUAUUUUGUGUAUGAGGUGUAUCAUUUUUUGGAACACGUUUUGCAUUUCUUAAACCAAAUAUAAAGUUUGAAUAUUC